AAAGAAAAUUAGAUAAUCAUCUCCCGAUUAUUAUCGGGGGAAGGAAAGUCCGAACACCAGGAGCAAAAUACUUCGUAACACGAAGUCCCGGUGACGGGAAGAUAGUGCCACAGAAAACAAACCAUUCCCAAUAUGCCUUUGGUUAUUGGGAGGAAGGGUGAAAAGGUGGUGUAAGAGACCACCAGUUCUCUCCGCCAGCUGGCGGAGAGAAGCUCGGUAAACCUUAUUUGGUGCAAGGUCAAAUAGGAGAGGAUCCCUCCAAUAUGUUGGAGGAACGAAUUGUUCCAUUCGUUUUACUCUCGGGUAGACUGCAAAAAUCAGUCUUUUGAAUCCCGAUACAUCGGGAUGCGGCAACGCCUGAUUCAGAUAAAUGAUUGUCAUCUCGACCUGUUAAGUUGAGAAACAGAAUUCGGCUUAUUAUUUUCUUUAGCA
Molecule: RNase P RNA, 432 nt
Filed under: Candidatus Cloacimonadota bacterium
Lineage: Bacteria; Pseudomonadati; Candidatus Cloacimonadota
Description: RNase P RNA component class A
Rfam family: Bacterial RNase P class A
About the family: Ribonuclease P (RNase P) is a ubiquitous endoribonuclease, found in archaea, bacteria and eukarya as well as chloroplasts and mitochondria. Its best characterised activity is the generation of mature 5'-ends of tRNAs by cleaving the 5'-leader elements of precursor-tRNAs.
Source: RNAcentral